CCUACGGGUGGCAGCAGUGAGGAAUAUUGGUCAAUGGACGAGAGUCUGAACCAGCCAAGUAGCGUGAAGGAUGACUGCCCUAUGGGUUGUAAACUUCUUUUAUAUGGGAAUAAAAUGUUCCACGUGUGGGAUUUUGUAUGUACCAUAUGAAUACGGAUCGGCUAACUCCGUGCCAGCAGCCGCGGUAAUACGGAGGAUCCGAGCGUGAUCCGGAUUUAUUGGGUUUAAAGGGAGCGUAGGUGGAUUGUUAAGUCAGUUGUGAAAGUUUGCGGCCCAACCGUAAAAUUGCAGUUGAAACUGGCAGUCUUGAGUACAGUAGAGGUGGGCGGAAUUCGUGGUGUAGCGGUGAAAUGCUUAGAUAUCACGAAGAACUCCGAUUGCGAAGGCAGUUCACUGGACUGCAACUGACACUGAGGCUCGAAAGUGUGGGUAUCAAACAGGAUUAGAUACCCUUGUAGUC
RNAcentral lists this ribosomal RNA (460 nucleotides) under uncultured bacterium. RNAcentral describes it as "partial 16S ribosomal RNA". It matches the Rfam family "Bacterial small subunit ribosomal RNA", at positions 338 to 795 of the family's 1533-position model. The record is from RNAcentral.